AUGCCUUCACAUGAUGGGAUUUUGAAUGCUGUGUCCUCAUUGGAGUUAAAUGCCGUGUGCAGAAAUGAUUGGAGAGAAGGUCAAAUCCUCACUGUCGGAAGUGUGAAUGUCAUUUACUCUCCUGAUGGGAGGGUGAAUUCUGUGUACUUGGCUGGUGGAAGCAAACAUGCCCCUGUCUCACCUCAAGAUAGGGAAGAGGGGAUGGCGUCUUCACAUGUAAGGGAAGGGCAUGGAGAGGUGAACCUCGAGCCUCCUGAUUCCAUUAGUUUAAUGCUGUGACCUGACCAAAUGGGCAGGUGCAUGCCCUCUCUACAUCUGAUGGAAGUGCGAGUGUCCUAUCUUCACCUGGUGUAAGCAUGAAUGGAGUUUCCUAACCUGAUGGAGGGUGAAUUCUACAUAGUUUUCUGUUGGAAGGGGAAAUGUCUCCUCAUCUGCAGGGGAGGGUGGACACCCUCAUAUCAUGUUUCAGCAGAAGGAAACCAUGUUCUCACAGGAUGAGAGGUUGGAAGCUGUGUCUUCACCUGAAGGGAUGCUGUGAAUGGCUGUCCUCACCUGAGGGAAAGGUGAUACUAUGUUCAUAUGUGAAAGAAGUUGAUGCCAUUGCAUCUCAUGAUGGUGUGAUUAAUAUGGUGUCUUCAUAUGAUGUAAGGUGAAUGCCCCUUCUUCAUCUGGUGGAAUGGUCCAUGUGCUUUCAGAUGCCGAGAGGAAGAGUAAGUCUUUGUCCUCAUGAGAUAGAAAGAUAAAUGCCCUAUUCCCUGUGGAUGGAAGAGGGAUCACAUGUACCCAUAUGUGGGAAGAUGAGCACCAUCUCCUCACCUAAGGAAUAGUGAAGUCUGUAUCCUCACUGGACAGAAGGGCAGCCACCAUGUUCUCACCUAAGUCUGAAUGCCCUUCCCUUACCCAUGGAAGCAUGAGCAUUCUGAGUCUAGUCAGUGAAGGAUUUCUACCUAGUGCUUAUUGACAAAAGGCUGAGGUCAUUCUCUGCAAAAUGUUUUAAGGGUGAAGGCCUUGUUCUAAUGUGAAAAUAAGGUGAAGAUCUUGGCUUACAAAAGGGAAGGCUGAAUGAGGUGUCCACAAGUGAUGUUAAGGUGAACAUCUUGUCCUCUCCUGAAGAACAUUGAAUCCCAUUGCUAGCAUGAUGAAAAGAUGAAGGAUGUAUCAUUAUGUGAAUUUCAUGAGAAAACACACUGUAAACAUUUACCUUAGGGUGCAGACCAUGUUGUCAUAUGAUGGAAGAGUGGAUGGCCUGUCCCAAUGCCAAAAGGUGACUCCUGUGCCUGGAAAUGAUAGAAGUUUGAAAUUGUGAGCCAUGGAAUGGGAGUGUAAUAAAUCUGUCCAAAAAUGAUGGAAUAGUGAAAGU
Molecule: long non-coding RNA, 1360 nt
Filed under: Oryctolagus cuniculus (rabbit)
Lineage: Eukaryota; Metazoa; Chordata; Mammalia; Lagomorpha; Leporidae
Description: lncRNA (ENSOCUG00000036960.1)
Source: RNAcentral